GCGCCCGUCGUUGGGGAGUAGCCGAUUUUCCGCAGGUGGAAAAUGUACGUGUCAACAUACUCGUUGCAAAACGUGGCACGUACGGGUUGAGCGGUCGUUCAAUC
RNAcentral lists this small RNA (104 nucleotides) under Klebsiella aerogenes. RNAcentral describes it as "Enterobacter aerogenes Manganese sequence". It matches the Rfam family "Manganese Mn2+ riboswitch aptamer (yybP-ykoY)". From Rfam's summary of the family: This RNA was originally discovered in E. coli during a large scale screen and was named SraF. The family was later found to exist upstream of related families of protein genes in many bacteria, including the the yybP and ykoK genes in B. subtilis. Lineage: Bacteria; Pseudomonadati; Pseudomonadota; Gammaproteobacteria; Enterobacterales; Enterobacteriaceae. The record is from RNAcentral.